UGUGUAGGCGGUCUGCUAAGUCGGAUGUGAAAGCCCUGGGCUCAACCCAGGAAGUGCACUCGAAACUGGCAGGCUAGAGUACUGGAGAGGUUGGUGGAAUUCUCGGUGUAGAGGUGAAAUUCGUAGAUAUCGAGAGGAACACCGGUGGCGAAGGCGGCCAACUGGACAGAUACUGACGCUGAGACACGAAAGCGUGGGGAGCAAACAGGAUUAGAUACCCUGGUAGUCCACGCCGUAAACGAUGGGUGCUAGGUGUCGCGGGCUUUGACUCCUGCGGUGCCGUAGCUAACGCAUUAAGCACCCCGCCUGGGAAGUACGGCCGCAAGGCUAAA
This 332-nucleotide ribosomal RNA is filed under the name uncultured Pseudomonadota bacterium. RNAcentral describes it as "bacterial SSU rRNA". It matches the Rfam family "Bacterial small subunit ribosomal RNA", at positions 568 to 898 of the family's 1533-position model. The record is from RNAcentral. Lineage: Bacteria; Pseudomonadati; Pseudomonadota.